UUUGACUCUUCGUCUUAUUUGAAAUUUUUUUAUGAUUAAUAUUUUUAUUGUUACUAUAUGAUAAAACAGGAAUAGUAUUUUACAUGUGACUAAUUUUUUUUAAUUUUUUAAUAAAUUUUUCAAAUAAGACGGAUGGUGAAA
Molecule: microRNA precursor, 141 nt
Filed under: Oryza brachyantha (malo sina)
Lineage: Eukaryota; Viridiplantae; Streptophyta; Magnoliopsida; Poales; Poaceae
Description: MIR812 microRNA precursor family
Rfam family: MIR812 microRNA precursor family
Source: Rfam by way of RNAcentral